This is a non-coding RNA of Xyrichtys novacula (pearly razorfish), 90 nucleotides long. The record is from the annotation of a GenBank genome assembly. NCBI's taxonomy places the organism in Eukaryota, Metazoa, Chordata, Actinopteri, Labriformes, Labridae.
UCUGAGGCUACUUUGCUGUUUUAUUUUUAAAAGAGGAAAAAAUUAGACUUUUUUUCGUUUUUUAAAAUAAAACAGCAAAGUAGCCUCAGU